UNUGACUUGAGUGCAGAAGGGGAGAGUGGAAUUCCAUGUGUAGCGGUGAAAUGCGUAGAUAUAUGGAGGAACACCAGUGGCGAAAGCGGCUCUCUGGUCUGUCACUGACGCUGAGGCUCGAAAGCGUGGGUAGCGAACAGGAUUAGAUACCCUGGUAGUCCACGCCGUAAACGAUGAGUGCUAGGUGUUAGGCCCUUUCCGGGGCUUAGUGCCGGAGCUAACGCAAUAAGCACUCCGCCUGGGGAGUACGACCGCAAGGUUGAAACUCAAAGGAAUUGACGGGGGCCCGCACAAGCGGUGGAGCAUGUGGUUUAAUUCGAAGCAACGCGAAGAACCUUACCAGGUCUUGACAUCCCGAUGCUAUUCUUAGAGAUAGGAAGUUACUUCGGUACAUCGGAGACAGGUGGUGCAUGGUUGUCGUCAGCUCGUGUCGUGAGAUGUUGGGUUAAGUCCCGCAACGAGCGCAACCCUUAUUGUUAGUUGCCAUCAUUAAGUUGGGCACUCUAGCGAGACUGCCGGUAAUAAACCGGAGGAAGGUAGGGAUGACGUCAAAUCAUCAUGCCCCUUAUGACCUGGGCUACACACGUGCUACAAUGGUCGGUACAACGAGUUGCGAGCCGGUGACGGCAAGCUAAUCUCUGAAAGCCGAUCUCAGUUCGGAUUGGAGGCUGCAACUCGCCUCCAUGAAGUCGGAAUCGCUAGUAAUCGCGGAUCAGCACGCCGCGGUGAAUACGUUCCCGGGCCUUGUACACACCGCCCGUCACACCACGAGAGUUUGUAACACCCGAAGUCGGUGAGGUAACCUUUUAGGGGC
RNAcentral lists this ribosomal RNA (814 nucleotides) under uncultured bacterium. RNAcentral's name for it is "bacterial SSU rRNA". It matches the Rfam family "Bacterial small subunit ribosomal RNA", at positions 636 to 1449 of the family's 1533-position model. The record is from RNAcentral.